This 1447-nucleotide long non-coding RNA is filed under the name Physcomitrium patens. RNAcentral describes it as "long non-coding RNA (PPAT_LNC011277)". Lineage: Eukaryota; Viridiplantae; Streptophyta; Bryopsida; Funariales; Funariaceae. The record is from RNAcentral.
UUGAAGAGGAUGUUUUUUUGACUAAAGUAGAGAAGAAGAAGUUCUUAAAGAUGCUCUCCAAACAUGAUGGCAUUGACAAGAAGAAAUUAUUAGAGUCUAAAAUUUACUAAUUAAAGAGAUUGCCCAAGGAUUAUUAAGUUGCUAUGGAGAGGCUUAAGGCAAUAAGAUUAAAUAACAAAGAGAGGUUUGAUAAAACUCAUUGAUUGAAGCCAAAGCCAAUUAAAGAAGAUGAUUGAAUUUUGAUUUAUGAUGGUAGUUUGAUACACCAAUAAUCUAUUAUUUGUAACUUUGUAUGAUAUUGGUUUGGAUCUUUUGUGGUACUUGAAGUGCAUGAUAAUGCAAUUUAUUUUCUUCAAGAAUUAGAUGAGACACCAUUGAAUAUUAGGAUUGGAAGAAAAGAAAUUAAAGUCUUUAAGUAAUAAGAUGGAAUGAAUUAUAUAGAAGAUUUAGAGGCUUUUGAAUCACAAUAUUUUGAACAAUGGUUCUAUAGUGAUAUGGCUCACAAUGACUUUGAUUUUAAUGAUGGAGGUAUUGUAGUCUAAUUCUUUCAUACAUACCAAAAUAUGUACAUGUUUGGAGGAAGUGAGUGUUGUCAUGCACUUAAUUUAAAUGCAUCAAAGUUAUUUUGAAGGUAAUUAACUUUAUUUUUAAGAAGAGAGGAAUAUAAUGUAAAUAUAUUUAUAAAUUUGAAAAGGAUUUAAAAUAGGAGAUUCUUGGCUUAAAUGGAUUAUUUAAGCUUUGAAGGUAUUGUCUUUCAUGAUAGAUAUCUGACUUUAUGGUCAUUAAAGAUAGGUAUUGAGAGAAGUUUAUGAUAGGAGUUUUGGCAUGAAGUGGAGUUUUUUUUUUCUUUUUGCUUGAGUAGGAGUGUGUAGGAGGAAGAUUGUUAGAGUUUUGAGAUGGCUAAUUUCAAAAUUGGUUUAAAAUUUUUGAUACUACUUACCAAAUUUUUAUUUCUUUAUAUUAAAAUUUAAAAAAAAAACUAAAUUUUAUUGUUAGUUUUCUAACAAGCUUUAGUAUACAAGAAGAAGAGUUAUGACAAGGGAGAACCAAGUGAGUUUGUAGAAGGAGGGUUGUUGGAGUUUUUUAGAGGUAUAAUUCAAGACCAAUUUGAGAUUUUUAAUGCCAUUUUUUAUAUAUUUUUUUAUUUAAUUUUUUUAUAGAAUCUAAAUUUCAUUCUUAAAUUUUUAAUAAGUCUUAAUAUACAAGAAGAAGAAUUGUGAUAAGAAAGAUUGAAGCUAAUUUGUGGAUGGAAUUUUUGAAAGCAAUAGCUACAAUAAGUGGCUAAUGUUUUAUUUUCUUACUUUGGCUCUUAUUUUUAAAAAAUUUUAUUUAUUGAAUUUAAAAAUUUGAAGUUUAAAACUUGAAUUAAGCUCAAUGAGUUAAAUUUUGUAUAGAUUAGAUUAAUGAUAAAUAAAUUAUAGAUAUUUUUUUGAAAAGAGAUUUAAAU